CAAUCUGUUGACUCAGCCAUUCACGCGGCCAGGAAACAACAAUAAAUGUGCGUGCUUUCCAGGAAAAGGCGCUGGGUUGGAGUGGGAAGACCCUGUUUCCAUCCCAGUGCAACCCUGGGAGACCUUGGACAAGGGUCUGCACCCCUCCAGCCUUUCAUUCAGGGAAACAGAGGAGACUGGACUGGAAUAGAAUUCUGAACGGUGCUCAGUUCGUGGGUGAUGAGUCAGAGAUUCCUGCUAAGGCACCUGUGGAAAUAACAGAAGAUGGCCCAAGUGCUUGGGCCCCUGCACCCACAUGGGAGACCAGGACAGAGUUCCUGCUCAUGGCUUUGCCUGACCCAGCCCCAGGUCAUUGCAGCCAUUUGGAGAGAGAGUAUUUCUUCAAGCACUCAAGACAAUUCUAAAAAAUCUGUGAACCAGGGCCGGCACUGUGGCAUAGCGGGUAAAGCCCAUGUGGGCGCCAGUUCGAGUCCCAGCUGUUCCACUUCUGAUCCAGCUCUCUGCUAUGGCCUGGGAAAGAAUUAGAAGAUGGCCCAAGUCCUUGGGCCCUUGCACCCAUGUGGGAGACCUGGAAGAAGCUCCUGGCUCCUGGCUUCAGAUCAGCCCAGUUCCAGCCAUUGCUGGGGAGUGAACCAGCGGAUGGAAGACAGACUCCCUCCCUCCCUCCCUCCCUCCCUCUCUCUCUCUCCCCCUCCCCUUCUCUCUCUCCUCUCAUUGUGUAACUCUGCCUCUCAAAUAAAUAAAUCUUUUUA
Long non-coding RNA from Oryctolagus cuniculus (rabbit), 752 nucleotides. RefSeq lists it as uncharacterized. The record is from RefSeq and is a predicted model, not a curated record. Lineage: Eukaryota; Metazoa; Chordata; Mammalia; Lagomorpha; Leporidae.